Molecule: transfer RNA, 119 nt
Filed under: Daphnia magna
Lineage: Eukaryota; Metazoa; Arthropoda; Branchiopoda; Diplostraca; Daphniidae
Rfam family: tRNA
About the family: Transfer RNA (tRNA) molecules are approximately 80 nucleotides in length. Their secondary structure includes four short double-helical elements and three loops (D, anti-codon, and T loops).
Source: Rfam by way of RNAcentral
CCGUCGAUAGCUCAGUUGGUAGAGCGGUGGACUGUAGAUUCGAUUCACGAAAGUCGUGAAAGUUGUUGCAUUCACGUUAAGAUAUCCAUAGGUCGCUGGUUCAACUCCGGCUCGACGGA